AGCUAUUGUUUCCUCCCAUCUUCAGAGCCAGUUUACAUCGACAAAAGAAAAAAUUAAAGAAAAUUGAGAUUUCCUUUAAUAAAUACAUAUUAUCAACUUUUUCUCAUAGUCAGAGAUGCUGAGAUGUUCAUGGGUGCCUGAAAGAUGUUGAGGAACAUUCAGAGCCUCCUCCGUGAGAAUAGAUUGCUAUUACCCUAUAAAAUCAUAUUUCAAAUGACUUUUCUUACAGUUGCCAAAGACUCAACUCAUGAUGAUAGAUGCAUACGCAAGGAUUUUUGACAAAUCCUCAAUGUAAAAGAAUAUGAGCAGAGCAGGAUCUUUACAGGAGACUGGAAAAGGAGGUGAUUCCCUCUCCGACUACUCCCCAAUACGUUUCACGCUGUGGCUGGAGAAUAUCUCUGGAAAAAUACCAACAUUUUCUUGAAGUGAAUUUACCUCUUUUAACCUGUGCACUCUGCAAUGCAGCGACACAGUGCCUGUACGUCUCCUCGGCCCAGAUCUUGGGAAACUUGCCUGUUUUGGUGUGCAUCAGAGAGACAUCUGGAUUCUUCUCCUGGAUCUGGCCUUGCUGACAGGAAAUGUCCUCUGACGAUCACAUGGCCCUGCCGAGGUGGAAGGAACUUUUCUACAAGUGGCUGUCCUGAGCUUGGGGAAUAGAAAGAUGAGGAAGACAUACAUGCGUCUUGUAACGAGCUUACGACCCAACAUACAUGCCGUCUUGUCAAGCAACUUGUAGUUUUCGGACGCACUAAAUAUUGCAAAAGAAAGCAGAAACCAUUUAUUUUUCAACCACUAAGCUAAUGUGUUCAAGCACCAAUUAAUCUUCUGCGGCCAAAAGUUGUAUGUAUCCAUAUAAAUAGAUAUAAAUAAAUGUUUGCAUAUGUAUCUGUAUUUUCA
Molecule: long non-coding RNA, 897 nt
Filed under: Felis catus (domestic cat)
Lineage: Eukaryota; Metazoa; Chordata; Mammalia; Carnivora; Felidae
Description: lncRNA (ENSFCAG00000049714.1)
Source: RNAcentral